Meleagris gallopavo (turkey) is the source of this 1919-nucleotide long non-coding RNA. RefSeq lists it as uncharacterized. Lineage: Eukaryota; Metazoa; Chordata; Aves; Galliformes; Phasianidae. The record is from RefSeq and is a predicted model, not a curated record.
CCGCCGUUGCCAUGGUCCCACCAUCCCCCACAUGGGAAAUGGCAGCAGCCGUGCCACAGGGGUUCACUUUUUAAAACGUUUUAAAUUCAGCUGUCAGAACGAAAAGAUGGCGAGGCAUCCAGCUUUCCGAAUAUACGUGAGUUAAGCAGCACUGUACAGGAGCAAUCAGCGUUGCAGAGAGAGCGUGCAGAAAAUGGUGUACAGGAAAAUGGAGAGAGGAGAUGGAGCGGGGAAGAAAACAGAAGCUGGGAAGGGUUUUUAGCCAUUCUAUGAUUCUAUGACUUUCUGGUCAUUCUGGAGCAUCAGCAGCUGUACCUGGAUAUGAAUUGCACUGUGAUACAGGGAGAAACUGGAGCUGCCUCAUCAGUGCCAUUUCCAUGUUGUCUGAUCUCAGGAGAAGGACAGCAUGGAUGAAUUUGUGCAACAACCCUACCAGCCAUAGAAGAUUAUAUCUUAUGAGAAAAUCCACUGGUGCCUUGUAAGCUACACUGGCCAUUCCUCACCCACAGUGGCAUGAAAUACAGCAGGAUACUUAUAAGAAGUAGAAACAAGAAAAACACAGAGUUGUAAGGAAGAUUUUUAUGUUUGGAAGACUGUGGGGGCCCAAGCACGGCAUGCACUGUGUUUGGGGGUGGGAAGGGUCUCGUUAGUGUGGCACCUUUGAGCUGUAACUUAUUUCUCCAACUGUGUAUCCAAUCAUUGGCAUGGCAGGAGUCCAAAAUAAUCCUGUUUGGAGAGAGGAAAGUGCCUGUGGAGCUGGGCUGAAGUUGUUUGUCCUUUCCUUGUGAAGAUAUGCAUAGUGUGGGAGGUGGUUCCUCCUUCCUCCCUGCAUCUUUAGCCACUGUGAAAACUGAUAAUUCCAUGAGACAGUCAACUAUGCAACUGCAGAUCCACAUAUAAUCACAGAAGUCUGAGAUGCUCUCUCCCAACACACAACUAAGCAGUACACAGACAUGCAAGCAGCUUCACAAACUUGCUAACAGAUGCUCCAUACCAAGUUAAAUGAAGUUAGUUAGUGAUGGGUGAGCAGGGAGAAUGAUGGCCCAAAAAGCUGAUACUGAAGAAAAAGGAUGAGGCAGUGGAAGAUAAAAGGAAGUACAGAAGCUGAUUUGAUUUGCCACUGUUUGCUAGAAAUGUAUCCUUUUGCCCACUUCUAGAUGCCAUACAGAUGUAUAAAAAAAUUGCAGCCUGUCAGUCUAACCAGGUAAAGCUCUCCUCCAGUGCCCUGACAUCAAAACUCAAUAAAACAACCUUUGGUAUUAAAUCAGUGUGAAUGUUAAAUAACAUCUGUGCCAAGCAGGGAGAUGCCAGCCCUGUUGGAUGAAUACAUGCCAGAGCAUUUAGAUGAUAACUGGUGUGAUGAAUUAAACUCUUAUCCAAAUAGAUACCUAGGCAAAGAGCACAGCGACCAAAUUCCAUCGUGCACUACCUUGUUAUCUCCACCGGGUUGCAAAAUGGUUGAUUCAGAGGCAGAAGAUAGCCUUUGGCAUUAUCUGUGAAUAGUACUAUGAUCCCCACUAAGCAAACCAGUGUGGUUUUACUUCCUGUUGUUCCUGGGCCUUUUUCAAGCGAGCUUUCUAGCAGUACUCUGCCCCAAUGUUUAUGUGGCAAUCAGCUGAAGUCUGCAUUAGUAAGAAAGGGUUCAUUUCCAGGAAGGGAACCAGGGCUGUGGGCAGGGCAUCAGGUGCCUCAGGGUCCAACCUCCUGUCACACAGCUGUGGUUCCUAGGCUGAGCUGCCAUGACAAAAACAAGAUACAGAAUCCAUCCUUGGAUGGCGCAGAGCCACAGACACCGAGCACAGCAGUUUGAGCUCUUUCUUCUUUAUCUUUUGUGGCACUGAAGAUUACGAUCGAAAAGAUGGCCAGGAUGCAACUUAUUAAUUAAAAUGUACUGAGUUCACCAGCAAUCUUAACUGAAA